Long non-coding RNA from Myxocyprinus asiaticus (Chinese sucker), 1420 nucleotides. RefSeq lists it as uncharacterized. NCBI's taxonomy places the organism in Eukaryota, Metazoa, Chordata, Actinopteri, Cypriniformes, Catostomidae. The record is from RefSeq and is a predicted model, not a curated record. The transcript is spliced from 2 exons.
AAUACACACGUUGUAGCAGGAGAAUUAAUCUAAAUGCUUUUAUAAAAGCUCAAGCUUCACAAUUCUGCAUUUAAACACUCAAAAAAUUGGCCCCAUUCACUUCCAUUGUAAGUGCCUCAAUGUAACCCAUAAUUUUUGCUUUUUUUAAAAAAAGGAGGGAUGAGUCGAAAUUAUUUUUGUGGUAAUCAACAUUAUGCCACAAAUGCUGUUGAUUGAGCUUGUAUUAAACCCAGAAUAUUCUUUUAAUAACUGUAGUGCCUAUGGUAUUUUGAUGUAAGGGUUUUGUGUUGUCUCGUCAAAUUGAGUGACACUUGAGGGGUUUAUGACACAUUAAGCAGCAGUGAAACCUAGCAGGACUUUCAGAGAGUUUCAGAUUGUUUGUGCUACUGGUGGUUUUUUGGAUUCAGCUAGAGAAACGUCACUGGAGCAGAUGGCAAGCCAGCGCAGGUCAUUUAAAUGGAAGGAUUGCGAGGAUACAGUAGACACGCCAAAUAUGGUGAAGAAACGCAUCGGAUGUCAAACCUGGUAAACUUGCGAGUUCAUGACAGUUAUGUUCUCAAGGUAGCUGAUGAACCUCUUCAGGUUGAUCCUUAUGUUGUCCAGAAAACAAAGCUGAUCAGGGCUGUAUUUUCCUCUCCCUUCUUUUCGCAGCUGUGAAAGAAAAAGAAAAAAAGCCAAACUGUGAAAAGCCUGCCAUCUAAAGGCCUAGGAACAUACUAGAACAGGGGUCGGCAACCUAUGGCACGCAGAGGAGAAAUCACUGGCACGCCUGCAAAGGCGAGAGAGGAGCAGACUAUUUUAUUGAUGUGAAAUUCCGCACCUGCAUUCCAAUCUACAUCUUGAUGUAAUUCUUCCUCAUGAUCACGCAGCGUUUUCAUGAGCUGAAUGGGAGGCUAAACAAAAAGUUAAAAUGUGAUGAGACCAGGGCUCGAGUUGAGGGGGAAUGCCAUCCCCCUUGUUGCAAGAAAUACCAAAAAGCAUCCCCCUUGUUAAACCACCAUCACCCCUUACCCUCCCCUUUAGAUCAAUUGUGUCAUGUAUUACUUAGAACUAAUCAUGCAAGUAAAAUAUUUUAUUUAGGUUUCUUUAGGUGAAAUCCCACAGUUAGAUCUGGACACUUGUACAGUUUGGAUAUAUGCUGUCAGGGUGACGCUUUAGUCACGCAAUCUGGCAACCUUGAACAUGCGAGCUCUCUCUCCACUGCGAAAAAAGACGGCAGUUUUCUGAAAACACUGUAAAACAAGCAUGUCGGUGUUUGCGAUGGGUUGAUUUAUCCUUCCUACUGUUCACAUGAAACUUACGCCACAAGUUUUCAAAUGUUUCACGCAACUUCAAACAUGGUCAAGUAGUACAUUGGAGUAGAAAAAAUGCGUGUCUGCAGUGGGCGAGCAAUCUAGAAAUAAACCUUUUUCAAAACAUG